AGUGAACGCUGGCGGUAGGCCUAACACAUGCAAGUCGAACGGCAGCACAGUAAGAGCUUGCUCUUACGGGUGGCGAGUGGCGGACGGGUGAGGAAUACAUCGGAAUCUGCUUUUUCGUGGGGGAUAACGUAGGGAAACUUACGCUAAUACCGCAUACGACCUACGGGUGAAAGCAGGGGAUCUUCGGACCUUGCGCGAUUGAAUGAGCCGAUGUCGGAUUAGCUAGUUGGCGGGGUAAAGGCCCACCAAGGCGACGAUCCGUAGCUGGUCUGAGAGGAUGAUCAGCCACACUGGAACUGAGACACGGUCCAGACUCCUACGGGAGGCAGCAGUGGGGAAUAUUGGACAAAGGGCGCAAGCCUGAUCCAGCCAUACCGCGUGGGUGAAGAAGGCCUUCGGGUUGUAAAGCCCUUUUGUUGGGAAAGAAAAGCAGCAGGUUAAUACCCCGCUGUUCUGACGGUACCCAAAGAAUAAGCACCGGCUAACUUCGUG
This 492-nucleotide ribosomal RNA is filed under the name uncultured bacterium. Its description in RNAcentral is "partial 16S ribosomal RNA". It matches the Rfam family "Bacterial small subunit ribosomal RNA", at positions 29 to 507 of the family's 1533-position model. The record is from RNAcentral.